RNAcentral lists this non-coding RNA (121 nucleotides) under Brevibacillus laterosporus. RNAcentral's name for it is "SAM-I sequence". It matches the Rfam family "SAM riboswitch aptamer (S box leader)". From Rfam's summary of the family: The SAM riboswitch is found upstream of a number of genes which code for proteins involved in methionine or cysteine biosynthesis in Gram-positive bacteria. Lineage: Bacteria; Bacillati; Bacillota; Bacilli; Caryophanales; Paenibacillaceae. RNAcentral also lists the same sequence under 1 other name. The record is from RNAcentral.
CUCUUAUCCAGAGUAGGUGGAGGGACUGGCCCAAUGAAGCCCGGCAACCGUUUUGAGCGGUGCUAACCAGCAGAGAAAGGAUAACUAUCUAAAUAGUUAGACUCACUCUGGCCGAUAAGAG